AGGCACUACGGUGCUGAAGUGACAAAUGCCCUGCUUCCAGGAAAAGCCUCUAAGCAUCAGGUAACAUCAAAUCGUACCCCAAACCGACACAGGUGGUCAGGUAGAGAAUACCAAGGCGCUUGAGAGAACUCGGGUGAAGGAACUAGGCAAAAUGGUGCCGUAACUUCGGGAGAAGGCACGCUGAUGGUAGGUGAAGUGACUUGCUCAUGGAGCUGAAAUCAGUCGAAGAUACCAGCUGGCUGCAACUGUUUAUUAAAAACACAGCACUGUGCAAACACGAAAGUGGACGUAUACGGUGUGACGCCUGCCCGGUGCCGGAAGG
This 322-nucleotide ribosomal RNA is filed under the name Klebsiella oxytoca. RNAcentral's name for it is "partial 23S ribosomal RNA". It matches the Rfam family "Bacterial large subunit ribosomal RNA", at positions 1572 to 1876 of the family's 2925-position model. Lineage: Bacteria; Pseudomonadati; Pseudomonadota; Gammaproteobacteria; Enterobacterales; Enterobacteriaceae. The record is from RNAcentral.